UAGCUAGCUAACAGCCAUGGAGGACGGUGAAAGGAUAGCAGGCCCAGCUGUGGGAGAGCAUGCUAUUCUGGAUAGAGCAGAGAGAGCUGUGAAAGCCUGUUUGCAGAUGAAGAGUUGUCCCAAUGAAGAGCAGCAGUUCUCAGUCCUGGUCCUGGGGACUCAAAAGGCAUAAAGUACUCUGUAGCCAAGUAGUGUGGACACCAGCUUAUAUCAACUGUGUUGGUGAACCUCUCCCGCAUCUGAACUGGCUGACACAGAGGGCACAGCAUGAUCAUAGGUAUGUUUUAAUGUGAGAGAGGAAGCCAGUCCCGUCAUCGCCACCUCACCCACUCUUAAGAUGACCUUCGGGCCGACUGUGUCACGCCCUGGUCUAAGUAUUUUGUGUUUUCUUCAUGUAUUGGGUCAGGCCAGGGUGUGGCAUAGAGUUUUUGUAUUGUGGUGUGUUUUGUUUUGGGAUUUUGGAAUGUGUGUAUAGUGGGAUUGUAGCUUAGUGGGGUGUUCUAGGAGAGUCUAUGGCUGUCUGAAGUGGUUCUCAAUCAGAGGCAGGUGUUUACCGUUGUCUCUGAUUGGGAACCAUAUUUAGGCAGCCAUAUUCUUUGGUUGUAUUGUGGGUGAUUGUCCUGUGUGUCUUGAUGUCCUUGGUUGAGGUUAGUAGACACUUGUAUAGGCUGUUUUCGGUUUUCGUUUCGUUUAUUGUUUUGUAGUGUUAGUGUUUUGUCGUGUGUUACGUUUGUUUAUUAAAGAUGAAUCGCAAUAGACACGCUGCAGUUUGGUCCGAUUCAAUUAAUGUCUUAGUCCCCUCUCCUCGCGUCCCUGGAUAGUCCACCCUCGCCGCCGACCAUGGCCUAGUAGUCCUCACCCAGAAACCCACUGGAUUGAGGAGCAGAUCGGGACUGAGGCAGCUCGGGACUGAGGGGAAGCUCGGGAGUGAGAGGAAGCUCGGGAGUGAGAGGAAGCUCGGGAGUGAGAGGAAGCUCGGGAGUGAGAGGAAGCUCGGGAGUGAGAGGAAGCUCAGGCAGGUUGAUGGAUCUACCAGAUCCUGGCUGGCUGGUGGUUCCGCCAGAUCCUGGCUGACUGGCGGAUCCUGGCUGACUGGCGGAUCCUGGCUGACUGGCGGAUCCUGGCUGACUAGCGGAUCUGGCAGAUCCUGGCUGACUGGCAGAUCCUGGCUGACUGGCGGAUCUAACUGAUCCUGGCAGACUGGACAUCAAGACACACAGGACAAUCACCCACAAUACAACCAAAGAAUAUGGCUGCCUAAAUAUGGUUCCCAAUCAGAGACAACGGUAAACACCUGCCUCUGAUUGAGAACCACUUCAGACAGCCAUAGACUCUCCUAGAACACCCCACUAAGCUACAAUCCCACUAUACACACAUUCCAAAAUCCCAAGACAAAACACACCACAAUACAAAAACUCUAUGCCACACCCUGGCCUGACCCAAUACAUGAAGAAAACACAAAAUACUUAGACCAGGGCGUGACAGACUGGGGGCCCAAGGCUGGUUAGGAGACACUAUGUAAUUGUGAUGAACUGAGAGAAUAUUAGUGUAGCACUGUAAUUCAUUAAUUAUCUGCGGUCUUCCCUGCUCCUCUGUUCUUAUCUCUUUUUGCCUUUGUCUUCUACACCUCUCUCCCCACCUCUUUCUUCCUCUUUUUUUAUAAUGCACAUGUGCAUUGAAGUACAGAUUGAACUUGUAUUUAUAAUAUUUAUAAUGCAAGUAUUAUGCAUUUAUAACACCUGGAUAAUGAACUUUCAAUAAAGUGUUUCACAUUC
Oncorhynchus nerka (sockeye salmon) is the source of this 1775-nucleotide long non-coding RNA. RefSeq lists it as uncharacterized. The record is from RefSeq and is a predicted model, not a curated record. The transcript has 5 exons. NCBI's taxonomy places the organism in Eukaryota, Metazoa, Chordata, Actinopteri, Salmoniformes, Salmonidae.